RNAcentral lists this transfer RNA (90 nucleotides) under Peptoniphilus sp. ING2-D1G. It matches the Rfam family "tRNA". From Rfam's summary of the family: Transfer RNA (tRNA) molecules are approximately 80 nucleotides in length. Their secondary structure includes four short double-helical elements and three loops (D, anti-codon, and T loops). The record is from Rfam by way of RNAcentral. Lineage: Bacteria; Bacillati; Bacillota; Tissierellia; Tissierellales; Peptoniphilaceae.
GGAGAAAUACUCAAGAGGCUGAAGAGGCUCCCCUGCUAAGGGAGUAGGGCUCAUUUUAGGGUCGCGAGGGUUCAAAUCCCUCUUUCUCCG